CGCAGGCAUCUGCGAGGUUCGAAAGCUCCGGCGGUGCAGGAUGAGCCCGCGGCCUAUCAGCUAGUUGGUGAGGUAACGGCUCACCAAGGAGACGACGGGUAGCCGGCCUGAGAGGGCGACCGGCCACACUGGGACUGAGACACGGCCCAGACUCCUACGGGAGGCAGCAGUGGGGAAUAUUGCACAAUGGGCGAAAGCCUGAUGCAGCGACGCCGCGUGAGGGAUGACGGCCUUCGGGUUGUAAACCUCUUUCAGCAGGGAAGAAGCGAAAGUGACGGUACCUGCAGAAGAAGCGCCGGCUAACUACGUGCCAGCAGCCGCGGUAAUACGUAGGGCGCAAGCGUUGUCCGGAAUUAUUGGGCGUAAAGAGCUCGUAGGCGGCUUGUCACGUUGGUUGUGAAAGCCCGGGGCUUAACCCCGGGUCUGCAGUCGAUACGGGCAGGCUAGAGUUCGGUAGGGGAGAUCGGAAUUCCUGGUGUAGCGGUGAAAUGCGCAGAUAUCAGGAGGAACACCGGUGGCGAAGGCGGAUCUCUGGGCCGAUACUGACGCUGAGGAGCGAAAGCGUGGGGAGCGAACAGGAUUAGAUACCCUGGUAGUCCACGCCGUAAACCGUUGGCACUAGGUGUGGGCAACAUUCCACGUUGUCCGU
This 649-nucleotide ribosomal RNA is filed under the name Streptomyces maritimus. RNAcentral's name for it is "bacterial SSU rRNA". It matches the Rfam family "Bacterial small subunit ribosomal RNA", at positions 183 to 844 of the family's 1533-position model. The record is from RNAcentral. Lineage: Bacteria; Bacillati; Actinomycetota; Actinomycetes; Kitasatosporales; Streptomycetaceae.